RNAcentral lists this ribosomal RNA (550 nucleotides) under uncultured bacterium. RNAcentral describes it as "bacterial SSU rRNA". It matches the Rfam family "Bacterial small subunit ribosomal RNA", at positions 355 to 896 of the family's 1533-position model. The record is from RNAcentral.
UAGGGAAUCUUCGGCAAUGGACGGAAGUCUGACCGAGCAACGCCGCGUGAGUGAAGAAGGUUUUCGGAUCGUAAAGCUCUGUUGUAAGAGAAGAACGGGUGUGAGAGUGGAAAGUUCACACUGUGACGGUAACUUACCAGAAAGGGACGGCUAACUACGUGCCAGCAGCCGCGGUAAUACGUAGGUCCCGAGCGUUAUCCGGAUUUAUUGGGCGUAAAGCGAGCGCAGGCGGUUAGAUAAGUCUGAAGUUAAAGGCUGUGGCUUAACCAUAGUACGCUUUGGAAACUGUUUAACUUGAGUGCAGAAGGGGAGAGUGGAAUUCCAUGUGUAGCGGUGAAAUGCGUAGAUAUAUGGAGGAACACCGGUGGCGAAAGCGGCUCUCUGGUCUGUAACUGACGCUGAGGCUCGAAAGCGUGGGGAGCAAACAGGAUUAGAUACCCUGGUAGUCCACGCCGUAAACGAUGAGUGCUAGGUGUUGGGUCCUUUCCGGGACUCAGUGCCGCAGCUAACGCAUUAAGCACUCCGCCUGGGGAGUACGACCGCAAGGUUG